AUUGCUUUUCGGCCUUUUGGCUAAGAUCAAGUGUACUAUCUGUUCUUAUCAGUGCCUAAGGGCUAAUAAGUAUAAGUGAACAAUUCUGAGUCUGGGUUUAAAGGGUCAUGGUACAAGUAAGCAUCCAUAAGGGGAUACUUAGAGGGAUCAUGUUUGGGUUACGGAAGAUAACCCAAAGGCUA
Molecule: small nuclear RNA, 182 nt
Organism: Octodon degus (degu)
Lineage: Eukaryota; Metazoa; Chordata; Mammalia; Rodentia; Octodontidae
Product: U2 spliceosomal RNA
Exons: 1
Source: RefSeq, a predicted model, not a curated record